RNAcentral lists this transfer RNA (64 nucleotides) under Planorbis carinatus. RNAcentral describes it as "tRNA-Met". The record is from RNAcentral. Lineage: Eukaryota; Metazoa; Mollusca; Gastropoda; Planorbidae.
UUAAAGAUAAGCUAAAUUUUUAAGCUAUUGGGCUCAUAACCCAAAUAUGAGACAUCUCUUUAAA